This 57-nucleotide transfer RNA is filed under the name Fukomys damarensis (Damara mole-rat). It matches the Rfam family "tRNA", at positions 8 to 63 of the family's 71-position model. Rfam says of the family: Transfer RNA (tRNA) molecules are approximately 80 nucleotides in length. Their secondary structure includes four short double-helical elements and three loops (D, anti-codon, and T loops). The record is from Rfam by way of RNAcentral. Lineage: Eukaryota; Metazoa; Chordata; Mammalia; Rodentia; Bathyergidae.
UAGCUCAGUGGUAGAGCGUGUACUUUGCGCGUACGUGGUCCCGGGUUCGAUUCCCGG